This is a long non-coding RNA of Ipomoea nil (Japanese morning glory), 111 nucleotides long. RefSeq lists it as uncharacterized. NCBI's taxonomy places the organism in Eukaryota, Viridiplantae, Streptophyta, Magnoliopsida, Solanales, Convolvulaceae. The record is from RefSeq and is a predicted model, not a curated record. The transcript has 2 exons.
CAGGAAGAUAAUGUGAGAUUUUGGGAAUGUCAUAUUAUUACCUGGUGUGUUUGGUUAAAGUUGUAGGAAUGUAAUAUUAACUUGUUUGGUUGAAGGUUAUAUUUUAGGUUA